This 210-nucleotide long non-coding RNA is filed under the name Musa acuminata (dwarf banana). RNAcentral's name for it is "long non-coding RNA (MACU_LNC005790)". The record is from RNAcentral. Lineage: Eukaryota; Viridiplantae; Streptophyta; Magnoliopsida; Zingiberales; Musaceae.
UCAUACCUCCAUAUGAUCUAGUCCCUCAUGGGACUAUGUCGUGUGUAUCGCAUUGCCACGAACUGUUCCAUCACGAUCCGCUACACCAUGUUGCCUCCUGGUGACAUCUCUAUUGCAUUCUGAUCCUUGUGGGAUGAACUCGAAUUGUGAUCCCUCCAUAUGUGGCCUCUGCCAAUACAUCGCAGGGUCUCUUCCACCUUCGAUUUUGUU